GAUGAACGCUAGCGGGAGGCCUAACACAUGCAAGCCGAGCGGUAUUGUUUCUUCGGAAAUGCGAGAGCGGCGUACGGGUGCGUAACACGUGUGCAACCUGCCUUUAUCUGGGGGAUAGCCUUUCGAAAGGAAGAUUAAUACUCCAUAAUAUAUUGAACGGCAUCGUUUAAUAUUGAAAGCUCCGGCGGAUAGAGAUGGGCACGCGCAAGAUUAGCUAGUUGGUGAGGUAACGGCUCACCAAGGCGAUGAUCUUUAGGGGGCCUGAGAGGGUGAUCCCCCACACUGGCACUGAGACACGGACCAGACUCCUACGGGAGGCAGCAGUGAGGAAUAUUGGUCAAUGGGUGCAAGCCUGAACCAGCCAUCCCGCGUGAAGGACGACUGCCCUAUGGGUUGUAAACUUCUUUUGUAUAGGGAUAAACCUACCCUCGUGAGGGUAGCUGAAGGUACUAUACGAAUAAGCACCGGCUAACUCCGUG
Molecule: ribosomal RNA, 479 nt
Filed under: uncultured bacterium
Lineage: Bacteria
Description: partial 16S ribosomal RNA
Rfam family: Bacterial small subunit ribosomal RNA
Source: RNAcentral